GAUGAACGCUGGCGGCGUGCCUAAUACAUGCAAGUCGAGCGAACAGACGAGGAGCUUGCUCCUCUGACGUUAGCGGCGGACGUGUGAGUAACACGUGGAUAACCUACCUAUAAGACUGGUAUAACUUCGGAAAACCGGCGCUAAUACCGGAUAAUAUAUUGAACCGCAUGGUUCAAUAGUGAAAGACGGUUUUGCUGUCACUUAUAGAUGGAUCCGCGCCGCAUUAGCUAGUUGGUAAGUUAACGGCUUACGAGGGCAACGAUGCGUAGCCGACCUGAGAGGGUGAUCGGCCACACUAGAACUGAGACACAGUCCAGACGCCUACGGGAAGCACCAGUAGGGAAUCGUACGCAACAGGCGGGAACCUGACAGAACAACGCCAAGUGAGUGAUAAAGGUGGUGGGAUCGUAAAACUCUGUUACGAGGGAAGAACAACUGUCGCAGUAACCAUAGACGUAUUGACGGUAACUAAUCAAGAAGCAACGGCUAACUACGUG
This 497-nucleotide ribosomal RNA is filed under the name uncultured bacterium. Its description in RNAcentral is "partial 16S ribosomal RNA". It matches the Rfam family "Bacterial small subunit ribosomal RNA", at positions 28 to 507 of the family's 1533-position model. The record is from RNAcentral.